RNAcentral lists this ribosomal RNA (429 nucleotides) under Gemmatimonadota bacterium. RNAcentral's name for it is "Gemmatimonadetes bacterium partial 16S ribosomal RNA". It matches the Rfam family "Bacterial small subunit ribosomal RNA", at positions 355 to 776 of the family's 1533-position model. The record is from RNAcentral. Lineage: Bacteria; Pseudomonadati; Gemmatimonadota.
UAGGGAAUCUUCGGCAAUGGACGAAAGUCUGACCGAGCAACGCCGCGUGAGUGAAGAAGGUUUUCGGAUCGUAAAACUCUGUUGUUAGAGAAGAACAAGGACGUUAGUAACUGAACGUCCCCUGACGGUAUCUAACCAGAAAGCCACGGCUAACUACGUUCCAGCAGCCGCGGUAAUACGUAGGUGGCAAGCGUUGUCCGGAUUUAUUGGGCGUAAAGCGAGCGCAGGCGGUUUCUUAAGUCUGAUGUGAAAGCCCCCGGCUCAACCGGGGAGGGUCAUUGGAAACUGGGAGACUGGAGUGCAGAAGAGGAGAGUGGAAUUCCAUGUGUAGCGGUGAAAUGCGUAGAUAUAUGGAGGAACACCAGUGGCGAAGGCGGCUCUCUGGUCUGUAACUGACGCUGAGGCUCGAAAGCGUGGGGAGCAAACAGG